AAGUCGUAACAAGGUAACCGUAGGUGAACCUGCGGUUGGAUCAUUAACAAAAUUGGUAGUCUUUUUUUUUUAUAAAAAAAAGCUAUUUUAACACCAAUGUGAACUUGUAUUAUUGUUUCUUUUUCUUUUUUUUUUCUUGAUUAAAUAAAUUUUUUUGGUUUGACCAAAAAGUUUUUUUUAUUUUGAGGAGGGAAAGAAAAAACCAUUUUAAACUUAAAAAGAAUUUAUAUAUUUUGACCUUUAAAUAAAAGUGUUUUAUACUUUAAAAAAAAAUAAUUUAAAAAAACAACUUUUGGCAACGGAUCUCUAGGCUCUU
Molecule: unclassified non-coding RNA, 316 nt
Filed under: fungal sp.
Lineage: Eukaryota; Fungi
Description: partial internal transcribed spacer region
Rfam family: Eukaryotic small subunit ribosomal RNA (bases 1-46)
Source: RNAcentral